UGUUGCCUACGGGAGGCAGCAGUGAGGAAUAUUGGUCAAUGGGCGAGAGCCUGAACCAGCCAAGUCGCGUGAGGGAAGACUGCCCUACGGGUUGUAAACCUCUUUUGUCAGGGAGCAAGAACGGAUACGUGUAUCCGAGCGAGAGUACCUGAAGAAAAAGCAUCGGCUAACUCCGUGCCAGCAGCCGCGGUAAUACGGAGGAUGCGAGCGUUAUCCGGAUUUAUUGGGUUUAAAGGGUGCGUAGGCGGUCUGCCAAGUCAGCUGUAAAAAUUCGGGGCUCAACCCAG
RNAcentral lists this ribosomal RNA (287 nucleotides) under uncultured bacterium. RNAcentral describes it as "partial 16S ribosomal RNA". It matches the Rfam family "Bacterial small subunit ribosomal RNA", at positions 333 to 617 of the family's 1533-position model. The record is from RNAcentral.